This 440-nucleotide ribosomal RNA is filed under the name uncultured bacterium. RNAcentral's name for it is "partial 16S ribosomal RNA". It matches the Rfam family "Bacterial small subunit ribosomal RNA", at positions 338 to 795 of the family's 1533-position model. The record is from RNAcentral.
CCUACGGGAGGCAGCAGUGGGGGAUAUUGCACAAUGGGGGGAACCCUGAUGCAGCGACGCCGCGUGGGUGAAGAAGCGCCUCGGCGCGUAAAGCCCUGUCAGCAGGGAAGAAAAUGACGGUACGUGAAGACGAAGCCCCGGCUAACUACGAGCCAGCAGCCGCGGUAUUACGGAGGGCGGAAGCGUUAUCCGGAUUUACUGGUUGUAACGGGGGCGCAGACGGCGGUGCAAGCCAGGAGUGAAAGCACGGGGCCGAACCCCGGGACUGCUCUUGGAACUGGGUGGCUGGAGUGCAGGAGGGGCAGGCGGAAUGCCAGGUGUAGCGGUGAAAUGCGUAGAUAUCAGGAGGAACACCGGUGGCGAAGGCGGCCUGCUGGACUGCAACUGACGCUGAGGCGCGAAAGCGUGGGGAGCAAACAGGAUUAGAUACCCGGGUAGUC